AUUAUCAUUUUUUACUGAAUCCUUUUAUUACGGGUGAAUUUCAAGAUCAUAAUGCAUUGGAUUUUUUAAUUAUGCGUGAGAUUCGAAGUAUUAAAUCCAUUUUAGAAUAAACAAUAACAUUUAUUGAUAUCUUAAGUUGGCAUUUUGUUUAUCUCUACAUUUGAAUGAAGACAAAAAAAAAGUUGGAUGACGUAUGGCAACAUAGGAAUAAUUUUGUUAAAUUUCGAUCUGCAUUUAAAGUUCUCAGAUGAAUAUGGAAGCGCCAAUUUAUGAUAUCAAAAUGUAAUUUAGAAUCCAUGAUGAAGGAGGCACAUCAGAAAAAUGGAUCAGAUAAUUGGAUACAAGUGUAUCUGUGGAUAAAGAAUGGAGAGCUUGGUGAUUUUUACCAUAUGAACAGGAACAUUCUGGUCUGCAAAAUAAAUCAAAAUAGUCUUGCUAACAGGCAUGCUAAAGAUGGACAUAGGAUUACUAGAAAAUUUACAUUUUCUCAGAUAUUUCCACCUGAUUCAACUCAACUAGACAUAUUUAAUGCUGUUGUUAAACCGAGAAUCUUUAUUUUAUGAAUGGUGUAAAAUGUACUCUUCUAACCUAUGGACCCUCAGGAUCAGGAAAGACCUCUACUAUUGUUGGUUCUGGAACUGAACCAGGACUAAUACCAAGAGCACUGGAAUGUGUUUAAAACAUUAGCCAAAAUGCCUGUUGUACAGUUCAAAAGAUUAACACAUUCAUGAGGUCAGGAAGAAGUUGAUAUUGGAUAUGAAUGAAUCGGAUGUGAACGAUGAUGCACAUAAUAUAAUAUUUAUGGCUUGCAAAUUAUAUAUUUUAUAUAUGAAUUACGUCUACUUGAUUUCUGUCAAUGUACUGCAUCUUCAUCCUAAAUACUGGAGUCAGGAGAAUUAUUGUUGGUAUCACGUAUAGUUUAUCCACAGCUGUGUGAUUUUAUCAUAUUGACAAAAAUAGGUAUCAAUGGAAUUAUUUUCAAUAUGAAUUAAAUCAUUUCAUUUCUUAUUAAUAAUAAGUAAUUCAGUAAACACAAUACAAUGUGUCAUUGAUUUAUUUAGUCAUGUUUUGAUUUAUUUGAUAAUUUUCUAUCAAAAACAAAUAUUGUCAUACUCAUUUAUUGCAUCAGGGCAAACCUGGGGAGUGACAUUUUAUU
This is a long non-coding RNA of Nicrophorus vespilloides, 1156 nucleotides long. RefSeq lists it as uncharacterized. The record is from RefSeq and is a predicted model, not a curated record. Lineage: Eukaryota; Metazoa; Arthropoda; Insecta; Coleoptera; Silphidae. The transcript has 3 exons.